GACGAACGCUGGCGGCGUGCUUAACACAUGCAAGUCGAACGGAAAGGCCCUGCUUUUGUGGGGUGCUCGAGUGGCGAACGGGUGAGUAACACGUGAGUAACCUGCCCUUGACUUUGGGAUAACUUCAGGAAACUGGGGCUAAUACCGGAUAGGAGCUCCUGCUGCAUGGUGGGGGUUGGAAAGUUUCGGCGGUUGGGGAUGGACUCGCGGCUUAUCAGCUUGUUGGUGGGGUAGUGGCUUACCAAGGCUUUGACGGGUAGCCGGCCUGAGAGGGUGACCGGCCACAUUGGUACUGAGAUACGGCCCAGACUCCUACGGGAGGCAGCAGUGGGGAAUAUUGCACAAUGGGCGGAAGCCUGAUGCAGCAACGCCGCGUGCGGGAUGACGGCCUUCGGGUUGUAAACCGCUUUCGCCUGUGACGAAGCGUGAGUGACGGUAAUGGGUGAAGAAGCACCGGCUAACUACGUG
RNAcentral lists this ribosomal RNA (468 nucleotides) under uncultured bacterium. Its description in RNAcentral is "partial 16S ribosomal RNA". It matches the Rfam family "Bacterial small subunit ribosomal RNA", at positions 28 to 507 of the family's 1533-position model. The record is from RNAcentral.